GCGCGCGCAGCGGGCCGGCAGUGGCGGCGGAGAUGGAGGAGGGAGGCCGGGACAAGGCGCCGGUGCAGCCCCAGCAGUCUCCAGCGGCGGCCCCCGGCGGCACGGACGAGAAGCCGAGCGGCAAGGAGCGGCGGGAUGCCGGGGACAAGGACAAAGAACAGGAGCUGUCUGAAGAGGAUAAACAGCUUCAGGAUGAACUGGAGAUGCUCGUGGAACGACUAGGGGAGAAGGACACAUCCCUGUAUCGACCAGCGCUGGAGGAAUUGCGAAGGCAGAUUCGUUCUUCUACAACUUCCAUGACUUCAGUGCCCAAGCCUCUCAAAUUUCUGCGUCCACACUAUGGCAAACUGAAGGAAAUCUAUGAGAACAUGGCCCCUGGGGAGAAUAAGCGUUUUGCUGCUGACAUCAUCUCCGUUUUGGCCAUGACCAUGAGUGGGGAGCGUGAGUGCCUCAAGUAUCGGCUAGUGGGCUCCCAGGAGGAAUUGGCAUCAUGGGGUCAUGAGUAUGUCAGACGCUGGAUUCCUUGACCCACAGAGAAGUGCUUCCCCUGAAGCUGUGCUCUCUUAAUCGUCUGGGACUAUCUGUAGGCAUCUGGCAGGAGAAGUGGCUAAGGAGUGGCAGGAGCUGGAUGACGCAGAGAAGGUCCAGCGGGAGCCUCUGCUCACUCUGGUGAAGG
RNAcentral lists this small RNA (676 nucleotides) under Pan troglodytes (chimpanzee). RNAcentral's name for it is "processed transcript". The record is from RNAcentral. Lineage: Eukaryota; Metazoa; Chordata; Mammalia; Primates; Hominidae.